AGAUUGAACGCUGGCGGUAUGCUUAACACAUGCAAGUCGAACGCGAAAGUACCCUUCGGGGUGCGAGUAGAGUGGCGGACGGGUGAGUAACGCGUAGGAAUCUGCCUAGUAGUGGGGGACAACCUGGUGAAAACCAGGCUAAUACCGCAUACGCCCUACGGGGGAAAGGAUGGGAUCUUCGGACCAUUCGCUAUUAGAUGGGCCUGCGUCGGAUUAGCUAGUUGGUGAGGUAAUGGCUCACCAAGGCGACGAUCCGUAGCUGGUUUGAGAGAACGACCAGCCACACUGGGACUGAGACACGGCCCAGACUCCUACGGGAGGCAGCAGUGGGGAAUAUUGGACGAUGGGGGAAACCCUGAUCCAGCAAUACCGCGUGUGUGAAGAAGGCCUGAGGGUUGUAAAGCACUUUCAAUUGUGAAGAAAAGCUUAAGGUUAAUAGCCUUGAGUCUUGACGUUAACUUUAGAAGAAGCACCGGCUAACUCCGUGCCAGCAGCCGCGGUAAUACGGAGGGUGCGAGCGUUAAUCGGAAUUACUGGGCGUAAAGCGCGCGUAGGCGGUUUAGUCAGUCAGAUGUGAAAGCCCCGGGCUCAACCUGGGAACUGCAUUUGAUACUGCUAAGCUAGAGUAUGGUAGAGGUAAGUGGAAUUCCAGGUGUAGCGGUGAAAUGCGUAGAGAUCUGGAGGAACAUCAGUGGCGAAGGCGGCUUACUGGACCAAUACUGACGCUGAGGUGCGAAAGCGUGGGUAGCAAACAGGAUUAGAUACCCUGGUAGUCCACGCUGUAAACGAUGUCAACUAGCCGUUGGAUCCAUUUAAGGAUUUAGUGGCGCA
Molecule: ribosomal RNA, 831 nt
Filed under: uncultured bacterium
Lineage: Bacteria
Description: bacterial SSU rRNA
Rfam family: Bacterial small subunit ribosomal RNA
Source: RNAcentral